GUAUAUUGUUACCAAACAAAUGGAAAACUUACCAGUAUAUACUGUAAAACAAGUUAAGUUAAGUUAAGUUACCUUUAUUAGUCCCACGAGUGGGAAAUUUCAUGUUAAGGCUGCCGACCAAUUGCACGCGAUGGCGGCGCCAUCUUACCCUCUGACCAUACAUACAUUGCACAAAAACAUCACAUGGGGAAGACAGGUCAGAGAGGUAUAACAAUGGAAAAUCCACAACAUGUGGAAAGAUAAGGAGAAAAAAAAAUAACUCCCCCCAGACUGAGCUCCAACAGGGAGAUCAGUUUGAGAACAGAAAAAAACACCUCUGCACAUAGCACAUGAAAAAACUCUUAAUACAACAAAGAAACACAUGACAAGCAACAGGGAUGGGUAAAGGGUGAGAGACAGCCAGUGUAGACAGUGCAUCCGGGCCUGCAGCAUAUGCGCUGGUCUCCUUGAUCCACCGUCAGCAUCGGAACAGAAUAAACGUCGAAGGCGUUUGGAGGGGGAGGGGGGAUGAGGUAUAUCUGCAAGUUUAUAUAUAUGUCUGUGUGUGUGUGUGUCCAGAGUUCAACUGAGACAGUGUCCUUCGCCCUGCCAGGCUAAGUAAACAGUCUUCUAGCCAACCCAGGCUAGAAGACUGUUAUGGCCCUGUCCAUAAUCUGUUUUGGUGGCUGUUGUUGUCUGUGCCUUUAAGUCUUUGCAGGUCCCGGAGUGGAUGAGCUGACGGCUGCUGAUUGGUCCCCUGGCCAUGUGAUCUUCAUUCAAAUCCCUCACCAGCAGUUGUCCCGGGGCAGCCACUGACAGCAGCAGCAGACCUGACCCUGGCCUCCAAAACCUGAGACUUUUGUGCCUGUGACUUUCUGUUCCUGAGAAAGCUGAACUGCCUGUGGAAAAAGCUGAAAAAUGUGUGUCUGAUAAACUGCUACCCACUACACCUGACCUGUCUUUUGAGUCUUUGCAGGUCCCGGAGUGGAUGAGCUGACGGCUGCUGAUUGGUCCCCUGGCCAUGUGAUCUUCAUUCAAAUCCCUCACCAGCAGUUGUCCCGGGGCAGCCACUGACAGCAGCAGCAGACCUGACCCUGGCCUCCAAAACCUGAGACUUUUGUGCCUUUUUGUAUAUAGUGUGUACAUUAGUUUUCAUUGUAAAUAGCCUUGUAAAUAGCACUGCAACAGAAGGGGUGAGCUGCCUUAUUGUUUUUCCUUGCACUGUUUUCUCCUGUUUAUUUCAGUUAGGGAGUUAGGUGUAGCGCUUGUCUUUUGUUUGAUAUUUGAUUUCACAUAGGGUUGUAGAUAACACCUCCUCCUGACUUAGCUUGUUUUGUUUGUUAUUUUGGCCUUUGUUCACCCUGGAGCUUCAUUUUUGCAGUGUAGAUAAUAAAUCACGAUUCACUAAGGAA
Long non-coding RNA from Astatotilapia calliptera (eastern happy), 1391 nucleotides. The record is from Ensembl. Lineage: Eukaryota; Metazoa; Chordata; Actinopteri; Cichliformes; Cichlidae.